CUUCAUGGGCGGGCCGUGACAGGGGAGCCGUAAGGCUCGCCGGGUUUUGGGAGCGUACUCGGUCUGCUAACCCUGUCAUCGUGCCCGCUCACCCUC
This 96-nucleotide non-coding RNA is filed under the name Paraburkholderia rhizosphaerae. The record is from RNAcentral. Lineage: Bacteria; Pseudomonadati; Pseudomonadota; Betaproteobacteria; Burkholderiales; Burkholderiaceae.